RNAcentral lists this ribosomal RNA (812 nucleotides) under uncultured bacterium. RNAcentral's name for it is "bacterial SSU rRNA". It matches the Rfam family "Bacterial small subunit ribosomal RNA", at positions 54 to 878 of the family's 1533-position model. The record is from RNAcentral.
CAUGCAAGUCGAACGGAGAAAAGAGGAGUUUACUUUUCUUUUCUUAGUGGCGGACGGGUGAGUAACACGUGAAGAACCUGCCUUACAGAGGGGGACAACAGCUGGAAACGGCUGCUAAUACCGCAUAACGCUAGAGUGUGGCAUCACAUUUUAGCCAAAAGAGCAAUCUGCUGUAAGAUGGCUUCGCGUCCGAUUAGACAGUUGGCGGGGUAACGGCCCACCAAAUCUACGAUCGGUAGCCGGACUGAGAGGUUGAACGGCCACAUUGGGACUGAGACACGGCCCAGACUCCUACGGGAGGCAGCAGUGGGGGAUAUUGCACAAUGGAGGGAACUCUGAUGCAGCGACGCCGCGUGAGGGAAGAAGGUCUUCGGAUUGUAAACCUCUGUCUUCGGUGACGAAAAUGACGGUAGCCGAGGAGGAAGCCACGGCUAACUACGUGCCAGCAGCCGCGGUAAUACGUAGGUGGCAAGUGUUGUCCGGAAUUACUGGGUGUAAAGGGAGCGUAGGCGGGAAGGCAAGUUGAUUGUCUAAACUAUCGGCUCAACUGAUAGUCGCGAUCAAAACUACUUUUCUUGAGUGAAGUAGAGGUAAGCGGAAUUCCUAGUGUAGCGGUGAAAUGCGUAAAUAUUAGGAGGAACACCAGUGGCGAAGGCGGCUUACUGGGCUUUAACUGACGCUGAGGCUCGAAAGCGUGGGUAGCAAACAGGAUUAGAUACCCUGGUAGUCCACGCUGUAAACGAUGAUUACUAGGUGUGGGGGGACUGACCCCUUCCGUGCCGGAGUUAACACAAUAAGUAAUCCACCUGGGG